This 484-nucleotide ribosomal RNA is filed under the name uncultured bacterium. RNAcentral describes it as "partial 16S ribosomal RNA". It matches the Rfam family "Bacterial small subunit ribosomal RNA", at positions 30 to 507 of the family's 1533-position model. The record is from RNAcentral.
AUUGAACGCUGGCGGCAGGCCUAACACAUGCAAGUCGAGCGGAUGAAGGGAGCUUGCUCCUGGAUUCAGCGGCGGACGGGUGAGUAAUGCCUAGGAAUCUGCCUGGUAGUGGGGGAUAACGUCCGGAAACGGGCGCUAAUACCCCAUACGUCCUGAGGGAGAAAGUGGGGGAUCUUCGGACCUCACGCUAUCAGAUGAGCCUAGGUCGGAUUAGCUAGUUGGUGGGUUAAAGGCCUACCAAGGCGACGAUCCGUAACUGGUCUGAGAGGAUGAUCAGUCACACUGGAACUGAGACACGGUCCAGACUCCUACGGGAGGCAGCAGUGGGGAAUAUUGGACAAUGGGCGAAAGCCUGAUCCAGCCAUGCCGCGUGUGUGAAGAAGGUCUUCGGAUUGUAAAGCACUUUAAGUUGGGAGGAAGGGCAGUAAGUUAAUACCUUGCUGUUUUGACGUUACCAACAGAAUAAGCACCGGCUAACUUCGUG